GACGAACGCUGUCGGCGUGCUUAACACAUGCAAGUCGAACGGAAAGGCCCUGCUUUUGUGGGGUGCUCGAGUGGCGAACGGGUGAGUAACACGUGAGUAACCUGCCCUUGACUUUGGGAUAACUUCAGGAAACUGGGGCUAAUACCGGAUAGGAGCUCCUGCUGCAUGGUGGGGGUUGGAAAGUUUCGGCGGUUGGGGAUGGACUCGCGGCUUAUCAGCUUGUUGGUGGGGUAGUGGCUUACCAAGGCUUUGACGGGUAGCCGGCCUGAGAGGGUGACCGGCCACAUUGGGACUGAGAUACGGCCCAGACUCCUACGGGAGGCAGCAGUGGGGAAUAUUGCACAAUGGGCGGAAGCCUGAUGCAGCAACGCCGCGUGCGGGAUGACGGCCUUCGGGUUGUAAACCGCUUUCGCCUGUGACGAAGCGUGAGUGACGGUAAUGGGUAAAGAAGCACCGGCUAACUACGUGCCGGCAGCCGCGGUGAUACGUAGGGUGCGAGCGUUGUCCGGAUUUAUUGGGCGUAAAGGGCUCGUAGGUGGUUGAUCGCGUCGGAAGUGUAAUCUUGGGGCUUAACCCUGAGCGUGCUUUCGAUACGGGUUGACUUGAGGAAGGUAGGGGAGAAUGGAAUUCCUGGUGGAGCGGUGGAAUGCGCAGAUAUCAGGAGGAACACCAGUGGCGAAGGCGGUUCUCUGGGCCUCUCCUGACGCUGAGGAGCGAAAGCGUGGGGAGCGAACAGGCUUAGAUACCCUGGUAGUCCACGCUGUAAACGGUGGGUACUAGGUGUGGGGUCCAUUCCACGGGUUCCGUGCCGUAGCUAACGCUUUAAGUACCCCGCCUGGGGAGUACGGCCGCAAGGCUAAAACUCAAAGGAAUUGACGGGGCCCCGCACAAGCGGCGGAGCAUGCGGAUUAAUUCGAUGCAACGCGUAGAACCUUACCUGGGUUUGACAUGGAUCGGGAGUGCUCAGAGAUGGGUGUGCCUCUUUUGGGGUCGGUUCACAGGUGGUGCAUGCCUGUCGUCAGCUCGUGUCGUGAGAUGUUGGGUUAAGUCCCGCAACGAGCGCAACCCUUGUUCACUGUUGCCAGCACGUUAUGGUGGGGACUCAGUGGAGACCGCCGGGGUCAACUCGGAGGAAGGUGGGGAUGACGUCAAGUCCUCAUGCCCCUUAUGUCCAGGGCUUCACGCAUGCUACAAUGGCUGGUACAGAGAGUGGCGAGCCUGUGAGGGUGAGCGAAUCUCGGAAAGCCGGUCUCAGUUCGGAUUGGGGUCUGCAACUCGACCUCAUGAAGUCGGAGUCGCUAGUAAUCGCAGAUCAGCAACGCUGCGGUGAAUACGUUCCCGGG
Molecule: ribosomal RNA, 1343 nt
Filed under: uncultured bacterium
Lineage: Bacteria
Description: 16S ribosomal RNA
Rfam family: Bacterial small subunit ribosomal RNA
Source: RNAcentral